This is a long non-coding RNA of Arabidopsis lyrata subsp. lyrata, 444 nucleotides long. RefSeq lists it as uncharacterized. The record is from RefSeq and is a predicted model, not a curated record. Lineage: Eukaryota; Viridiplantae; Streptophyta; Magnoliopsida; Brassicales; Brassicaceae. The transcript has 2 exons.
UUUUUCAUUCUUAACCAACCAAAUCUUCGUAUGUUCUCAUCGAAGUAUCACUUCUUCGUCGAGUCGUUGUUGACUCGUCCUCUGAUCUCCGUUUGUCCCUUUGAUUGGCUGAGACUCCACCCUUACCACCGGCCAUCGUUGUCAUCUGCUAAUUACUCGUUGAUCACUCACUUCUCCAAUCAUCUGCCACCGUUGGAUUCAUAAGUUUAUUGGCCGCGGUCCACGAUCGUUGUCACUUGAUAAACUCCGAUAUAUCUCCAAGAGAUAGAAACAGGCGUGUCUUCAUGUUACGUUGCAGUUUCCAUUCAAUUGUGAUCAUUUUUUUGUUUAAUUUCAAAUGGUUUUGAUUGAAGAAGUUUGUAAUGGCACUAUUUUUUUUAGUGAAAAAAUAUUGUGUAAAGCUAAUGAAUCCAGCGAUUUUAAUUGCAUAAAUUUACUGAUUUA